GACGAACGCUGGCGGCGUGCUUAACACAUGCAAGUCGAGCGGAGCGGCGAACGGGUGAGUAACGCGUGAGUAACUGCCCCCCUCUCUGGGAUAACAGUUGGAAACGGCUGCUAAUACCGGAUAGUGGGGGAUGACUCGCGGCCUAUAAGCUUGUUGGUGGGGUAGUGGCCUAUCAAGGCGACGACGGGUAGCCGGCCUGAGAGGGCGACCGGCCACAUGGGGCUGAGGUACGGCCCAAACUCGUACGGGGGGCAGCGGUGGGGAAUAGUGCACAAUGGGGGAAGCCCUGAGGCCGAAACGCCGCGGGCGGGAUGUCGGCCUUCGGGUUGUAAACCGCUUUCAGCCAUGACGCGGUAGUGGCAGAAGAAGCACCGGCUAACUACGUGCCAGCCGCCGCGGUAAUUC
Molecule: ribosomal RNA, 405 nt
Filed under: uncultured bacterium
Lineage: Bacteria
Description: partial 16S ribosomal RNA
Rfam family: Bacterial small subunit ribosomal RNA
Source: RNAcentral